CACAAUUUCGACAAUGCCCAAACCCAACGCGGUUUCUUGUUCCAAGUCUCCCUCUCUCCCGCAAACGACUCUUCUAUUCUUUCGUCCUCUGUCCAUCUAUUAAAUCCUUAUUCUCCAUUGAUUUUUAAUCCUUCAUUUGCCUACAAACAAUCCAUACAGAUGUUUGUUGUGUAUUUAAUUUCUGAACGGAGGAAUUGAAUUGAAUUGAAAGGGGACAUGGGCUGUUUCAGCAGCAAGAGCGCCGAUUCUAAAGCGAGUCGGGUAACUCGGUGGCAGUCCACUGGCAUUGUCGCUUUGCGCGAUUGCAAAUUGAAGACAAUUCCGGAUGAAGUUAUUGAUCUAGAAAGAUCCGUUCGUACCCUUGAUUUAUCGCACAACAGAUUGGUUGAUAUUCCUAUGGAGAUAAGCAAAUUGAUUAAUUUGCAACGGCUGAUUUUAGCUGAUAACGUCAUUGAGCGUCUUCCAAUGAAUCUGGGGAAGCUUCAAUCUUUAAAAGUUAUGACCCUCGAUGGAAAUCGAGUUACCACAUUGCCUGAUGAAUUGGGGCAAUUGGUGAAACUAGAGCGGCUAUCAAUAUCUGGAAAUCUGCUACUGAAUUUGCCUGAAACGAUCGGGAGCUUGCGCAAUUUGGUGCUGUUAAAUGUGUCGAAGAACAAGCUAAACUUUCUUCCAGAGUCCAUUGGUAGUUGCUUCUCUCUGGAAGAAAUUCAAGCAAAUGAAAAUUCCAUCGAAGAGCUUCCUGCUUCAGUUUGCAAUCUCGUUCAUCUAAAAUCACUGUCCUUGAACAAUAAUAAUGUGAGGCAGGUACCUCCAGAUUUGUUGAAAGAAUGCAAAAGUCUGCAGAAUAUAUCACUCCAUGGCAAUCCCAUUGUUAUGGAUCAAUUUCAACAAGUGGGAUUAGUGUUUUUCUGUUUCUCUUUCACACCGCUCAAUGCACUUUUAAUAUCAAUAAUUGACAGUACCAUGCAACUUCUAUCUGUAAGUAAUCACCCAAGUUAUCUUUCAGAUGGAGGGAUUUCAGGAUUUUGAAUCCCGGAGGAAAAAGAAGUUUGACAAGCAAAUAGAUUCUAAUGUGAUGAUAAGUUCUAAAGGUCUUGAUGAGGGUGUUGAUCUAUGAAAUACUUGCAAUGACAAUUUUUAAGUCGAGUUUCUCAGCCAUGUUGGGUGGAGCCAUUUGAACAAGGCCAUGGCGCAGAUAUUUAUGGCUUAUGUAUUUAAAGAUUUAGAGCUGCAAAUGGUAUCACUUCUGUUCUGUGGCUGGUAUUUGAUCUUUGUGAAAUGCUGUGUACAUAAGCUGUAUGUAUGGGCCAACUUUCAAUAACACAUUUUAGUUUCUACUCACGGAAUGCCUAUUGGAGUAUAUUUCCUUGUCUUUUGCAAUUGUACAUGUAAGACUGCUUCAUUGAAUAAGAAACUGUUUUGAGCAGAUUUA
Molecule: RNA transcript, 1432 nt
Organism: Olea europaea var. sylvestris
Lineage: Eukaryota; Viridiplantae; Streptophyta; Magnoliopsida; Lamiales; Oleaceae
Gene name: plant intracellular Ras-group-related LRR protein 7-like
Exons: 9
Source: RefSeq, a predicted model, not a curated record